Chinchilla lanigera (long-tailed chinchilla) is the source of this 826-nucleotide long non-coding RNA. RefSeq lists it as uncharacterized. The record is from RefSeq and is a predicted model, not a curated record. NCBI's taxonomy places the organism in Eukaryota, Metazoa, Chordata, Mammalia, Rodentia, Chinchillidae. The transcript has 4 exons.
UUUCACUGGGAAGCUGCCAGUAGAGCCAUUAUGGACUGUUCCCAACUGAAGCUCAAGCAGAUCCAGGGUACACAAGAAGACCUCAUUUAGGAGGUGCUGUCCUCAUAGGAGACGUCCAAAGUCAGCGGCUCAAUGACUUAGUCUCUUUUGAACGUAUUAUCAACUGUCUUCCUGCUGGCAAUGAACAGGAUGUCCAACCUCCCUACAGUUGCCUCUCCAGACUCCACAAUUUCUGUAUAGAAGAAGCUUAGAAGAUGCAACAUAUCUGGAAGCAGAGAGUUGGAGUCUUGAAAAUGAGUUUUCUACUACUUUAGAAAAUACUGAGGGAUAAGUUUUUCUAGAAAUGGCCAAUCCACACUUUUCUCUACAACUGGUGUUGCCUUUCUCUUUCGCUGUAUGUUGAAAUAACUGAAACACAGAAAAAGAUAUAAGGCACAGCGGCAGGGUUGCAGUGUUCUUCUCACAGAAAUGUUAACUUGCCCAUCAAGAAGAGUAUAUGAUUUGCAUGCUGGCCUAUCCCAUAAGAAAGACCCAGCACUGGGCAACAAAGUAACUCUUCGAAAUCUCCAAUUUUUCUUCUAGAAGGGAAUAUCUCAGAUGUAAAGAAAUGGUGGAAUGUCUCCACUCAGUAUUUUGGAGUGGACAGAAGCUCCUGCUGUCCUGGCCAGCAGUAUUGCUGGGGAAGAACAUGACUCCUGCUUACAGUGAUGAGGAUUAAAAAUGGCUGAUAUGGAGUGGGGGAAUGGGUAAAUCCCUGGAUUUGGAACCAGAUGGAACCAAGUUUAAAUCCUGACUCUGCUAUUUACUGGACUUGGAAAAAAAAAAA